GCGGGUGUAGUUCAGUGGUAGAAUGUUUCCUUCCCAAGGAAAAGAUCGCGAGUCCGAGUCUCGUCACCCGCUCCA
This 75-nucleotide transfer RNA is filed under the name Cyanobacteria bacterium UBA11991. RNAcentral describes it as "tRNA-Gly". It matches the Rfam family "tRNA". Rfam says of the family: Transfer RNA (tRNA) molecules are approximately 80 nucleotides in length. Their secondary structure includes four short double-helical elements and three loops (D, anti-codon, and T loops). Further hydrogen bonds mediate the characteristic L-shaped molecular structure. tRNAs have two regions of fundamental functional importance: the anti-codon, which is responsible for specific mRNA codon recognition, and the 3' end, to which the tRNAs corresponding amino acid is attached (by aminoacyl-tRNA synthetases). tRNAs cope with the degeneracy of the genetic code in two manners: having more than one tRNA (with a specific anti-codon) for a particular amino acid; and 'wobble' base-pairing, i.e. permitting non-standard base-pairing at the 3rd anti-codon position. RNAcentral also lists the same sequence under 1 other name. The record is from RNAcentral. Lineage: Bacteria; Bacillati; Cyanobacteriota.